Long non-coding RNA from Helianthus annuus (common sunflower), 425 nucleotides. RefSeq lists it as uncharacterized. Lineage: Eukaryota; Viridiplantae; Streptophyta; Magnoliopsida; Asterales; Asteraceae. The transcript has 3 exons. The record is from RefSeq and is a predicted model, not a curated record.
GGCUGGUUUUAAUUAUUUUUUUUUAUUCGUUUAACCCCCAACUAAUCAUAUUAAAUGCCAACCAACCCAACCCUAAUCCAUCCCCUAGAUAACCCAAGCUUCCUGCAAACAUUUUUCAUAUUCUUUACACUCUCUAGACCCUCUCAAGCACACACAAAUUGCAGCUGAGUUCCAGAUUCGAGCAGAUUCAUACCUUCACACAAAAAAGGACUUGGUGUUCCAACCUCCCAUAACAACAACUCUCUCGCGGAUUCACAAGUGGAAAGCUUGCAAAACCGCUGAGAAUUAUGAUGCUAUGAAACGAAGUAGCAAUGAUGCCUAGAUACACAUUUAGACGAUUUAGGUUUAAAGUGUUGUAUCAAUUUUGUUUGUUAUGUUAUGGACAUGUUGUUAUUUGAAUUUUCCUUGUAAUGUUUGACAAUUUG